Triplophysa rosa is the source of this 1636-nucleotide long non-coding RNA. RefSeq lists it as uncharacterized. The transcript is spliced from 6 exons. NCBI's taxonomy places the organism in Eukaryota, Metazoa, Chordata, Actinopteri, Cypriniformes, Nemacheilidae. The record is from RefSeq and is a predicted model, not a curated record.
GCGAGAGAUGAAGGGCGUGUGAUGUGCUUGUUCAAGAAACGCUCCAGAAAUCAUGUUGUAUCUCCAUCAGAUGAAGAGGAAGGAUAACGAUCAUCUUUAUUGAAGCAGUUCCAGGGUCAGUGAAUCGUCUGAAGAGCAGCUUAUGAAGUCAUCAGUCAUGUUCAGCAGUCGAGGGGCUCUGGUGUCUUGUCGAGGCAGCUCCUAAUAUGAGUUGAGUCGUGAAUCUGCUCUCGGGAUAUUUCUGUGCCGAAAUCUGGAGUCAGGGGUCCCAAACAGACUAACGGAGUAAAAGAUGCUCCUCGGGGUUCAAUCCUACUCUUCUCCAAUCUCUUCCGGCUGUUUGAUUCCUGGAGAACACAGCAGCGCUGACGUGUUUGAUUUCUUCAUCUCGGGUUCAGCGCUUCAGGUCACUGAUGGAUGACUGGUGCUGAAUUCAACAGAUGCACGCUUCUACAGAUAUUAAAUGAAUGAAACAUCAAAGAGAAGCUUUCACAACUGUUUUUACUUGUUACGGCCCCUGUGUGUGUCAGUGUGUGUGCGUGUGCGUGCGUGUGCUUAUGUGUGUGUGCGAGUGUGCGUGCGUGUGUGCGUGUGCAUGCGUGUGUGUGCCAGUGUGUGUGUGUGCCGGUAUGUGUGUGUGUGUGCGUGUGUGUGUGUGGGAAGGGUAAACCCUACGGUAUGGGGACAAAAUGUCCCCACAAAGACGGCAAUAUCCAAAAUCCUUGUCCUUGUGGGAACAUUUUUUUGUCCCCAUGAGGAAACAAGCUUAUAAAUCAUACAGAAUUAACUUUUUUGAAAAUGUAAAAGAGCAGAAAGUUGUGUGUGAUUGUUAGGUUUAGGGGUAGGGAAUAUGAUAUACAGUUUGUAUAGUUUAAAAACCAUUGCGUCUAUGGAAUGUCCCCAUAAAACAUGGAAACCCAACGUGUGUGUGUCAGUGUGUGGCGUGUGUGGCGUGUGUGCGUCUGUGUGUGUGUGUUAGAACAGGAAGAGGUUGGAGAGAAACAGAGUAAAAUUGAAGCACUAACACACAUGGAGGAUUAUCGAUCCGUCAGAAGCGACUCUAUCCUGCUGGACUUGAGCUCUAUUGUUGCUGGAGCUUUCAGAACACGUAGCUGUAUAGAGUGUCCCUCACUCACUCAUCACCUCACGGGUUAAUAAACCUGCUGAUGGGACAAAAGACUUAUUUACUCCACUCAAUAAACAUCAAGCAGAAGAGGACUGAGAGAGGAAUGUUAUUCAAACCAUUACGCACCUGCAGUCAGAGGAAAACCACUGACCUUCCAUGUGCUGAAAAACCACAGAGUAAUCCAUCUUCAGGAUGCUAAGCGCUCCUCAUGGCGGUGAUUCUGUAUACUGUAAUGCAUUAUCACAAGAACAAUAAGAGUACAUGUUCAAGAUGUUGAUAUUUGUGUUUGUGUCGCUCUUUAAUACAUGUUUCUUUUACUUUGUAGAUUAGAACACCGGGGUGUGUUUUGUUCCAGUAUGGUACACUGUAAAAAAAUCUGUAAAAAAACUGAGAUUUUCUGUAAACUGGAAAACCAGAAAUAUACCGUUAAACUUCCUGUAAAAGUAUAGGAUAUUAGGAUAUAUAUAUAUUAAAUUGUUUUUUAUUGUAAAUUUGUUGUCUUUUUCUGUA